Amazona collaria (yellow-billed parrot) is the source of this 132-nucleotide small nucleolar RNA. Lineage: Eukaryota; Metazoa; Chordata; Aves; Psittaciformes; Psittacidae. The record is from Ensembl.
CGCCAAGUUACUCAACAAAUAGACACAGCUCACUGUGUGUCUGAAUUGAAGAAUGUGGCUAGAAAAGGAACAGGUUGUGCUUUCCUCACUGUAUAGUUAGUUGCAGUGGUGACAAUGAGACUUGUAAGAGGU